AACGAACGCUGGCGGCGUGCUUAACACAUGCAAGUCGAACGCGAAAGGGACUUCGGUCCUGAGUAAAGUGGCGCACGGGUGAGUAACGCAUAGAUAACCUGUCUUCAUGUCUGGAAUAAUACGCCGAAAGGGGUACUAAUACCGGAUAUUCUUGCUUUUCAUAAGUUAUGCAAGCAAAGGUGGCCUCUGCAUAUGCUACUGCAUGAAGAGGGGUCUGCGUACCAUUAGCUAGUAGGUGGGGUAAUGGCCUACCUAGGCGACGAUGGUUAGCGGGUCUGAGAGGAUGAUCCGCCACACUGGCACUGGAACACGGGCCAGACUCCUACGGGAGGCAGCAGUGAGGAAUAUUGCGCAAUGGGGGAAACCCUGACGCAGCGACGCCGCGUGAGUGAAGGAAGGCCUUCGGGUCGUAAAGCUCUGUCAAGAGGAAAGAAGUGUACAAUGGCUAAUACCUGUUGUAUUUGACGGUACCUCUAAAGGAAGCACCGGCUAACUCCGUGCCAGCCGCUGC
This 511-nucleotide ribosomal RNA is filed under the name uncultured bacterium. RNAcentral's name for it is "bacterial SSU rRNA". It matches the Rfam family "Bacterial small subunit ribosomal RNA", at positions 29 to 518 of the family's 1533-position model. The record is from RNAcentral.